This 72-nucleotide transfer RNA is filed under the name Dipodomys ordii (Ord's kangaroo rat). It matches the Rfam family "tRNA". Rfam says of the family: Transfer RNA (tRNA) molecules are approximately 80 nucleotides in length. Lineage: Eukaryota; Metazoa; Chordata; Mammalia; Rodentia; Heteromyidae. The record is from Rfam by way of RNAcentral.
GGAGGUGUGGCUCAGCAGUAGAGCACCUGCUUAACAAGCACAAGUCCUUGAGUUCAAAUUCUAGUACCACCA